This is a long non-coding RNA of Antechinus flavipes (yellow-footed antechinus), 1732 nucleotides long. RefSeq lists it as uncharacterized. The record is from RefSeq and is a predicted model, not a curated record. NCBI's taxonomy places the organism in Eukaryota, Metazoa, Chordata, Mammalia, Dasyuromorphia, Dasyuridae. The transcript is spliced from 2 exons.
UAAAAAUAACCAGUCCUCAAAAAGUCAUGAUAAACGCCACACAGCUGAGUGACUUGGGAAGUGCUUUCUGACUCCUCAAAGGGGGACACACGGUCGGUUUUGUUUGUUUUUUUAAUUUCACACACGCACAAAAAACCAUGGAAAUCUGCGAGCCACCAGCCAACCGCUCGUGCUUGGCCCUGACAACUGUAAUCUAGCCUUCACUUCCUCUCCUAGUCACUGAAGCCAAGAUUUGGGUUAAAGUUUUUCAAAUUUGUCUUGAUCAACAGAGACAUCUACGGACACUAAAGAUGGAGUCUAACUAGAAAAAGCUGCACCAAGUAUUCCAGUCCGGGACUAAAAGACCAAGGUUGUACACAGGAAAAGAGUAAGUCCUAGAUCCAUCCAGUGCUGCCUGACCUUGUGAAGCCUUCAGAAACAAGGCUUCCUGUUGGCUGCUCUGUUGCUCAGUAUCCAGUUCCAGAUCACAGAUCCAGGGAGGACUGAAGAGGGGAUGGUGAUCCAAAACAAGGAGUCAUCUUGGGCCAUAAGCUAAAGACUGAGCAAGGUGCAAAUUCAGAUCCAAGCAUAACAACGCGUCUUUGACCCUAGGAAAGGAGCAUCAUGUCAUUUCCAGCUUGCAACCAAAUAUAAAUCCUGCAAUCAAAUAACCAGCCUAUAGUUUUGUGAUUGAAUCAAUAAAGUUUUCCAGGUGACUGAGUUCAGCAGCAAUUUAUUGGAACUCCAGCCAGGGGCAAGCCCACAAGUAUGUUGCUCAGACCCAAAUCAAGAUCAAGAGCUUGCAGAGUUCAAACCAAAAGGGUAGUGGUCAGACUUGGAUCGGACCACUUUGGGAGCAUUGAAAGCUUAUAGAUCUACAACCUGAACUAUCCCUGAAUCCUAGAAUAAUACAGUAUUCAAAAACUCAAUCCAGACAUUACCUCCAGAAGUGCACAGAACCUGGCCCUGACAAAGUCAGGAAGUAUGUUGUAAGAAUGAGCAAAGAAAAAAAUUAGUCUCACCACAAAGAGUUGUUAUGAUGAGAAACAUAAUUAAGACACAAAUCCAGAAGAAGAGAAUGACUCCAAAACAGCCAAAAGAAAAGAUUUAAAGAAAAAUGCAGUUUGGAUACAAGUUUAACAAGAAUAACACAUAGAGAUGAAACAAGAAUUGUCUUAUAAAAAAUAAAAUGCUUUUAAAAAUGAAAUGAAAGCCACUACAGGAAAAAUUAGAAAAGAAAUAGAAGAUAUUAACAGAUCACUUCCUGAAAUAAACCUCAAACUGAAAAUUACCAGAAACAGUAGAACCAAAAUCCAGAGCUUCCAGAUUUAAAAAAAAAUACCAUAAGUAAGAACUGAGGAGCAACAGUGAAGAUCACACACAAUUUAAUAACUACCAUUAUAAAGGAGUGAAGAGCUUAGAAGAUGAUAGACUGAAGGCAAAAAAAUAUAUAGGCUUAUAAACAAGAAGAAUCUAUCCAGGAAAACUGGGUAGGGGGAAGUGGAGGGAAAAGAUUUUUAAUGAAAAUGAAAAUGUUAACUAUUAUCAUUUCAGAGUAAAGAGGAGAGUAACUACCAGCUAAAGAACCAGGAACAUCCUAAACUUAUAACUACAUAUGACAUUUCCCCUUCUUACUUCCCAAAGAAUGUAAGUUGCUUGAAGGCAGUCUGUGAUAUUGCAAACUGAUUUGUAACUUUUAUGCUUGUUGAUUGAUCUAUUCCUGAUAACACAACUAAUAAAUGUUAGGAGUGGA